UAUUAAAAUUUACAUCCAUUUCUACUAUUAAAAGUUUGUGUGGUUGAUAGAAUAACCAAACAGUUAUACUUGGAUGUAAAUUUUUAACAAUAGAAAUGGAUGUAAUAUUCAACA
RNAcentral lists this microRNA precursor (114 nucleotides) under Gossypium barbadense (sea-island cotton). RNAcentral describes it as "MIR7502 microRNA precursor family". It matches the Rfam family "MIR7502 microRNA precursor family". Lineage: Eukaryota; Viridiplantae; Streptophyta; Magnoliopsida; Malvales; Malvaceae. RNAcentral also lists the same sequence under 1 other name. The record is from Rfam by way of RNAcentral.